This is an RNA transcript of Phlebotomus papatasi, 11033 nucleotides long. RefSeq lists it as uncharacterized. The transcript is spliced from 2 exons. Lineage: Eukaryota; Metazoa; Arthropoda; Insecta; Diptera; Psychodidae. The record is from RefSeq and is a predicted model, not a curated record.
CUUAAAAUGGCCAUAACUCCGGUUCUAAUUGUUAGAAUUUAAAAAGUGAGGACAUUUUGGAAAUGCCAUUUCCCCUUCUAACAUCGAAAGUUCAUCGCUAGGGGCGCUAGUUUUAAAAAGAAAAUUUUUCAAUUUUCUAAGUUAAAAAACUCAAAAAUUCCAUUGUGCAUCGGGCUGAAAUUUUAGUAUGUUGUAGCCGCUGAUUAUACCUAUCAAAAAAAAUACUUAAGUCGAACCCCUGAUCCGAGCUAUAAGGGGUCAAAGUUCGAAUAUUGACCGGCCUCUAUCUCCGAUUCUAAUUAACAUUUUGAGCUAAAUUUUGGGUUUUUGGUCAAAAAUUGGGUUUUUGGUCGAAAAUCCACGAAAAAUUACGCACCCCGUGAAAAUCCGCGAAAAAAUUCGCAACCCGCGAAAAUUCGUGAAAAAAUACGCGACCCGCGAAAAAUUUCACGCCCUGCGAAAAUUCACGAAAAUCCGCGAAACUCCGAAAAAAUUACGCGCCCUGCAAAAAUCAGCGAAAAAAUCGGAAAAAAUACGCGGCCUGCGAAACUCCGCGAAAAAUUACGUGCCCCGCGAAAAUCCGCGAAAAAAUUCGCGCCCCGCGAAAAUCCGCGAGAAAAAUCGCGCCCCGCGAAGAUCCGCGAAAGACAUCGCGCCCCGCGAAGAUCCGCGAAAGACAUCGCAGAUCGUGAAUUGUAUAUGCCACCUUACAAAUCCUCGAAUAUAGACUGACUAUGUACAGAGGGAGAGUGAGAGAAAGGGAGAGUGAGAGAGUGUUAUAAUGGGGAAAGCUUGUCCGACGCCGCUUCUCCCGCUUUUUUCCCGCCUGACGAUAAUAGCAAAUAUUCUUAAAAUUGAAAUCUUUAAAGUGAAAUAUCUCGAGAACCGUUCGACGAAUGUCUUAAUUUCUUUUUUUAAAUUGGUCUAAAUUUUCUGGACUACAACAUAAACAUAAAAAAUUCAAAAUCGCAUGUUUAGAUUUCAAGAUAAAUUACAAAACGUGAUUUUUAACCGGUUUAGAACCGGUUUUUCAAAAAAUUAAUAGCACAGAAAUCGUCGUAUGCUCGCGUAGAUAUAUUAAUAAAAAGAAUUAUGAAGAUAUCUCUAUCCAAGCCAAAGAUAUUGCGUGCUACGGAGGGCAGCCGGACCCGAAAUUACCGGCUUAUGAUUUUCGGCAUCAGGGAUGUUCAAAACAUAUACCCUGUGUAUUUCAGCUCGAUCGGAGCACUUUGAGAAAAUCCGAGGAUUACAAUAGGUGUGAUUAGAAGGAAUCACACCUUAGGAUAUUAUUGUUUGAUUUAGAAAAGGAAUAUUGAGCAAAUCACUUCACUCAAAGGAAGCAUCUCCCUAUAGAGUGGCGGCAUUUUAUAUAGCGUGUAUUUACGGGCUCGUCGUAUUUUUUGUCAGAAAAUUAUUUUGAAAACCCAAAAAUGUGAUGUGCUAUCAUAACACAUCAAAUAUUUUUAAUUUUGAGGAUUUUCGAAAUCAUUUUGUGAGAAAAAGUGAAGUUUUUUGCGAAGGGGUCACAAGUACUGCCGCCAUCUUAUGUACUAAAAUAUUUAACGGACUAAUCAGAUUUUCAUAAAUUGAAUUAAAUGAAUAAAUUGAUUUGUUGGCUAAUUUUAGCCUAGUUUGUCCUACCUAGAAGUUAUUUUUAAAACACGAAAUCUUUUAAACUUUUUCUACUUUUCGGAAACCCCUAUUUCACUUUGUAAUUAUUUUAAUAAAGCAGUUUCGAAUACAGAACUAUGGUCAAUAUUUCCAAGAUUUUUCGACAAAAAUACUAUUUACGUAUUUUGGGGAGCUACAUUAGUUUUUAGGCCAUAGGGGGAAGUGGGGCACUUUUGAAAUUCGGAUUUUCUCCUAUGUUUAAGUGGAACUAAGCCAUAUCAUAAUGCAAUUUAGCUUCUCAAUCUGUUUGUGAAGCUAAAUUAUAUCACGAUAAAACUCAAUUUUAUUUAAAAAUAGGUGAAAAAUCUCAAUUUCAAAAAUGCCCCACUUCCCUCUACUUCCUUUAGAAGUUUGUUAUAACUAAAGUUGGGAGUUUUGUUAUAUCAAUGCUUUACAAAUGGUCUAAAGAACUUUUUAGAUAAUUAAAUUCUUACACAUAUAUUACUUGGAGGUCGGCAAACUAUGUUAAAUUUUAGAUAUAAUGUUGUAUAUAAACCCCGUCCUAAGUUUACAGAAUACACUUUAGAGACUUCGCUUGGCGGCCUCUUGGAAACAUUGUAGGAUAUGCGUUUUAAUAUACCAGAAGCUCUCAGCCCAAGAAACUUCGUCUUCUCAUAUUUCACUUGAACAUUUAACGAUCGUGCCGAAAACAGGAAUUUGGGAAAUGAGUUAAUUAAUGAAGUUGUCGAAUUAAAGAGAAGCAUCACGUAAGCCCCAAUUAUGUUGGAAUUGAUCUCUUAUAUCGUUUAUUACCUCACAAGAACCCUAAAACUUUCACUCCCAGUAAAUGUAUGUAUCUCCCCAACAACUCGAUUCGUGGGUGUUUUCUGGGCAUGAGAGAUAAGUAGAGUGUCUGGGCAGGUUGCAAAGUAAAUGGGCCCUGUAGGGGAAUUCUGUAAUUUUCGUGGCAUUGUCACGCGUGAGUUCGAAGCCUGACAAUGCCAUUCGAGCUUUUUUGUCAUAUCAUAUGAGUUCGAAAAUGCAAUUCAUUGAUUUUUUAAUGAAAUCCCUUGAUGAUUUUAUGAAAAUACAGUACGUCUUGGUUGAUUUGUUUAACAACAUUCAUUGUCAUUUGAAUUGCCAGAAAUCUCAAAUAUGUGACUUCUGACAAUGCCACGUGAGCUAAAAUGGCAAUGUCACGGCUACAGAAUCGCAUUUUCGAAAAAAGCUCUCCUAAAGAUUCGAACCCAAUUUGUCACAUGGCAUUGCCAGAGCGUUACAGAAUUCCCCUCCUGAUUGGUAGAGAUGUGACCAAGGGAACCUCACUUGAAAAAAGUGUACAAAAUGUAGAAAAAAAAAGAAAAGAAAAGUUUUCGGAAAGAAAAAGAAAAGUAAAAAAAAAGAAAAAAAAGAAAGAAAAACAAAGGAAAAAAAUGAGAAAAUGUUUAAAAAUUUGUAUUUGAAUUUAAAAUACAAAAAAAAAUUACAAGCCUAAUCAAUUCUUACUUGUAUUUUUUUUUAUAUUGAAAUUCACUGGUAUAAGAGUUUAAACACUUAUCUUCUAAAUUCCAAGAAGAAAUUUCUGGAUGAUAUUGGUGUCUGAGGACAAAAUAUCCACCUUGGUAACAUCUAAAACAUAUCCAAAAAUGAAAAGUAUCGAUAGUUUUAGUUUUUGAGAUAUUCCCAAGAAAGUGGCUUUUCAAAGAUCCAAGAAAUGGAAGAGAGCGCAAGGAAAAUCGCGAUCAAUCACGAAGAGCUAAAAUUUCAGUUUUUGGUCCUUAUGCACAAAAUAAGGAAAACUUUAAGAUUGGAAAAGGACACGCUUGUAAACGAAGUACAACUCAAAAGAAGUUUUUAUAAAGUAAAUAAAAAACCAGCUAAAAAGUGAAGAUUUUUUUUUAAUAAUAAGAAAAAAGAAAAAAGGAAAAAAAAGAAAAAAAAGAAAGAAAAACGAGGUGUACAAAUUUCUUGAAGUGAGGUACCCUUGGAUGUGACAAAAAAUGAUGCAAUUUCUUUGGAGCGGUACCUCCUCUCUGAAUAUAUUUUAAUGCUCAUUUCGCCAAUUCUCAACGUGUCAAUCACAUUUUAGUGAAAUGGUCAAAAAUUUUUUGAGGAAGACACUCAAAAUCCAUGUUUAAAAAAACUUUCUCCGGAAUUCUGCGUCUAAUUAGUGGCGCCAAUAGAGAUAAGAUUAUCAUUCGUGAAUGUGGAGACAAAAGGUGAAUUCUCAAAAGAGGCAUCGAUUUUAAGAUGAUGACCAAAGUAUUUACAUUCAUUUCAAAAUCACGUUAAAUCAUAACAAACAAAAUGAGAGUGUUGACAUCAUCUUAAUUGACUGACCGGUCUUUUAUUGUAUAGCUAUCGAUAAUAUGUUGAACGUUGCGAGACAAGGUGGAAAAUUCACGCAAAUGCCAAUUGCUUGUCGCACGCGAUGUAGCAUCGAUCAGAAGAAGCCGGUAAUUUUGUAGGUCAUAUAAAUUAUCUCGUCUCUUGAUUAUCUUAUUGGUUUCCUUGUGCGUCUUUUUACACUCUCGUUCCAUUUCAUCACUUUCAAUAAAGUUUUAAAAUAGAUGUUCUCAUCAUGUCUUCACCUGUAAUAACAGUUGCAUUAUAAAAAAGACUUAUUUGUCAAUUAAAAUUUUAUAUCAAAAUUUAAAUUUCGUUUUAAAAGCAUGUUUAGCUUCUACACAAGAUCCAUUUUAGAAGCCCACAGGACAAGUUUCUAUGUAUUUUUUGAGAGCAUCGCACUGUUCUGAUUCUGAUGCUUAUUUUGCUGGACAAGCCUACAAAACAAAAUUUAAGACUAUUAAACUCAAGCUAGGAGGAAUAUUAAAUAAUUAUCUCACAUUGAAAAGAAUUUUCUCAAUGCAGAAGAGCAUGAAUCCUGGUGCAGCGGUACAGAUAGGAUCAGCAGGAUCUAGUGGGGGAAGUUUUACUGCUUCAUCGAAUUGUGGACCUAAUUCUUUGACAAUUCCAGCACAUUGUGUUAUAGCCGACUCAAUUACAAGUUCCCACUCAGGCAUUCCUUCUGCUAUCGUCUUAAAUCCAGUUAUACUAGAAGUUCCACAUUAAUAUCUUUUCCAUUAACUAAGUUGGUCACGUUUGAAAUACAUUCGGCUACGCACUAGAAUAAAACUGUUUUAAAAUUUUCUUUUUUAUAAGAAUUUAAGAUGAAAGCACUCACACCUCCUCGAAGAGGUCCUCCACUUAAAAUAGAUUCCAUUACUCGAAUGGUUUGGGCUCCAUACUGCUCCAUGCAGGACUCAACAAGUGCAUCAUCUAGAGGCAUGGGAAAUUGACAGCAUUGUUUAGGAUAGGUUUCUGGUAACUUUCUACAAGGGUUUGCCACAAUCACAUUAAUCGUAAUCAAAGUUGCGAAAGACAAAAAAAUUGACUUCUUCAUCGCUAAUACAUAAAUGUUUAAAAUAUAUCUAAAGACUGAGGUGGUACCUCUAGAAAAAUGUCGUUUUAUAGCCAAAAUGAGAUCUUAGUGGUAAUGAUAAGUGUUCAGAAUUGAAAUUUCUAAUUAUUUUGCAAGACAUUUCAUUUAUUUUUAAUGGAAAAGUUAAAAAUGAAUUUAAUUAGAUAAUUGAAAUUUUCCGAAAAAUUGAAACCCUAAUCUGCUAGAAAAUGUAAACAAGGAGUGGAAGUUGUCAAAUUAUUGUAUGUACGCAGCCUAAUUUUUGUGAGAGGAAAAGGAAAAGAAAAUUGUGAAGUGAAAAAAGGUGAAUAAUUUGAAUAGGAAAAGGAUAGUGAGGAGUUUGUGAAAAAGGAAAGGAAAAAAGGACAUUUGUGGAAAAUAAAGAAGUGGUGGUGGAAAGAAAAAUACGCAAUUUUACUCAUCAAAUCAGCAAUAUCGUCAAGUCGUCAAGGUCGAAAAGGUCAUCCCAAGAUCGCAGAAGAAAACAGCUGGAAAAGGGCGCUUUCGAUCCGGAUAUCGCCCCCAUAGAGAACUAGUCAAAGUCUCUUUCUAAUUUUAGGUAAUUUACCCUACAAUAAGCAUUUUUCAAAGCAUCAAUUUAAAUUUUGUGCUGUACGGACAGUUAUAAUUUAUAGCCAAAAAUUAAUUCUUUAAUGAUUGUUUGUAUUUGUGGAUUUUUUAUGUCUCAUAUUCUUCUUUUAUCAGUUAUUCCAAAGAAUAGAGAUUGAAAAUUGCAAAUACUGCGUUUUGUGAUUAAAAUUCUGCAUAAGUUCGUGCUAAUAUUUGUCGAUAAACUUCAACAGAAAAAAUUUAAAACAAAAUUGUAGUUUAUUAUAGAAGGAUCGGUACAUAUGAAACAUGGAAAACGAGGAAAGCUUAAUUAUUUUAACUACCUUAAAAAGUAGUUUAUCAUACCCAGAAAAAAAUAUUUUGUAAAAUUGUUCGUAAAUGUUUCUGAAAUCCUUUGGAGGACUUACGAAAUGCUCGUGAAUCAUAUAACCUACAAACUAGUUCGUAAAAUUUUGUACUUUUUUCACAAACAUAAUUCGUAAAAUGAUCAUUUGACGAACAUUUUUUGUACUUUUACAAACAUUGGUUUGUAAAUAUUUGUAAACACACAAAAAAUUUUCGUAAAAUUUUGUCAUUUGUUCGUAAAUUUUUGCCAGACAAACAAAAAUUUACGAACAAAUACGAACAAAUGACAAAAUUUUACGAACAUUUUUUGUCAAAUUUUACGAACAUUUUUGAGGAAUAAAACAAGUGUGCGAUAUUGCAAACUGUCCGAUAUUUGGCCCAGUAGUGUCACACACACACACACACAAACACCUUGCCAGUUUUCCCACUAAGUGGGGUUGGCAUUGGCACUCCUUGUACAUCUUCGCCAGGUUGCGCGAUCCUGGGUCGUUUCACUUUCGAGUCCUUUAGACCUCAUGUCCUUUUUUACAGUGGAGAGCCAAGUGGUAGGGGGACGACCCGGACCUCUCUUUUAGUGGGGUUCAUCGAGAACUCUCUUUAUUAGAUGAUCCUCCGGGCGCCGCAUCACAUGACCGUACCAUCUCAACCGCGAUUCUGCAAGUUUCUCGCCAAUUGGUUCCACUUGCAUGCUGCCCCUCACGUGCUCAUUGCGCACCCUAUCUUUGAGGGUGACUCCCGAUGACCAUCUCAACAUUCGCAUUUCUGCUACGUGAAGUUUCUUAUCAUGGGCUUUAGUGGCUGCUCUGCACUCUGAGCCAUAAAGCAUUGCGGGGCGAACCACGGUUUUGUACAGUUUGCCUUUUAACUUUGGUGGCAUCCUUCGGUCACAAAACACACCGGAGAACUGCCGCCAUUUCAUCCAUCCCACUGAUAUCCUGUGUGCUACAUCUGCAGCAACAGAAAACCAUUGUGAGACAGGAUACUGCCCAAGUAUCUGAAGUUGUCGGUUCUGGGCAAAUCCUCUCCAUCCAAAGAUAGAGAUCCCGAGUCCUCGGAGUUACCGCUGAAGUUGAGGUGCAUGUAUUCGGUCUUCGAGCGACUGAUUUUAAGACCACCACUCUCUAAUUUCUCCCUACAGAGAUCUAGUCUACAUUGUAGAAGAUCUCUGUUUUUAUCCACCAGCACCACAUCGUCUGCAUAGAGCAGAGUCCACGGCGCUUCGGUCUGGAUAGAGGAAGUUAAAUAAUCCAUAACUACAAUGAAGAGUAAUGGACUUAGAGCCGAACCCUGAUGCACCCCAACCCACACUCCAACUCCAGUCAAGCCGCGUAUUUGCGUCGUGACCUAAUAGUACAUAUCCUUUAUUACAUUUAUGAAGCCCUCUGGUACGCCCUUUGCUCGAAGAGCUUCCCAGAUGAGCUUUCUAGGGAUGCGGUCAAAUGCCUUCUCCAGAUCAAUAAAGAUUAUGUGUAAGUCUUUUAAUGACACUUUGUAUUUCUCCAUUAGAAUUCUAAUGGAGUGGAUGGCAUCAGUUGAUGAUUUUCCUUUUUCAAACCCACGUUGGUUUUUCGUGAUCAUCGUGAACAUCUCCUCUGCUGUGCCGUGGUAAUGUAGUCGUAGAAAGCUCCUUAUCUCAAGAAUAAAGUCAACGCAUGACUCCAUUUUGUGCCACCGGAUCUUCGGCGGUCCUUUAUUGACUCUAUUAUGACGCUGUUGCACAACUUUCAAGUCAGCCACAAGCAGUCUAUGCUGUGUCGUCAAAGGUUCACCCGGGAUGACCUUGCAGUCUUUGAAUUUUCCCAGGAUGUCCCUGUUGCACGUAAUGAAGUCAAUUUGCGUUGCCGUGUUUCCACUCUUGUAAGUGAUGAGAUGAUCGUCUUUCUUUUUAAAGUAGGUGUUCACGACCGAAUGGUUGUAUGCCUCCAACUCACACCAUAACCCAGUCCUCCAUGUACUCCAGGGUAGUUGGCGUUCUGGGAGCCAACAUGAGCUUUGAGGUCGCCACAUAUUAGCGUAUUUUCUUGUGGUGGAAUGGACUGUAGGAGCAGUUCCAUAUCGUUCUAAAAUUCCAUUUUGGUUAGCUCACUACAUCCUACUUGUGGGGCAUAGGCUGAGAUUACAUUAAGACAUGGCUCAUUAUCUAGUGCGAUCUUCACUACCAUAAGCCUGUCAGUUAUCUUCUCAACAUUAACCAAGCGGCUUCUCAUCUCUUCGUCCAGAACUAUCCCGACACCGUUAAUCUUAGGGUCGACUCCGUAGUAGAGCAAUGUGUAGCCGUCUCCCAACUUUCUCGCCUUCGAUCCCUUCCACUUGGUCUCCUGAACACAGGCAAUGUUCACACAUCGCCUACACAGGGUUUCGGCAAGUUCUUGGCCACCUCCAGUGAGUGAACCCACGUUCCAAGUGGCCACUCUUAUUUUAAAAUUCACGCUAAUCUUAUUUCUUCCGUCGUCGCUUCGAGGGGGGUGCCCUAGUUUUAUUAUUGCUUCCGUCGUCGCUUACGGGGGACGCCCUAACUUUAUACUUUUUUCUUUUGGUUGUGACUGUCAUGAUGUACAAUGAAAACAAAAAUUUUUGGCUUUAAGUUUUAUGGGCGGUUGCCACCUGACGCCAAGUUAGUAACCAUGUCUGAAUGGCUUUGGGGCUGUUCGUUGGCAAGUAAGAUACCCGCUCUUCCGCACACCUCCCUUUUGUGACAACCUAACAUUUGGCCCAGUAGUGUCUCUAAAAAAAUUGCAUACUUAAAGUUAAAAGUUGAGAUCAAAAUUCUAAUGUUAAAGACUUGAGCAAUCUUACAUAAAAUUCGCGGAAGUUUCGAUGUUUUUGCUAAAUUGCAUAAUUUCAAAUCCUAAACAAAUUUUUCAAAAUUGACACUUCAAUCCAAAUAGGUGUCAAAAGAAAACCCGCAGUUCCAUAAAUGUUAGCCAAAGUAUAACAAAGGCAUUUUAAACAGAUCGUGCAUAGAAUGCGUUACAUUGCGAGGGUGGACGAAUAGACGCACUUUUCGAUGGGACUAGCCCCAAAAUAGAUUCUUUCUCAAUCGAACUUGAAUAGGUGCCCACUCUAAUCGUCACUUAAUUGAAAGGUGGCAUCGUCUCGUGCCACAAAUCACUCGAUUAACAUAAUUGUAACGCAAUUUACUUAAUCAACUUAUGGACCAUCGGGGCCUAAGAUAGCGAUGGAAUUGUGGAUGGAAAAAAUGGGUGUGUGGCCAGUCGUAGUAUCUUCAUGCAUUAUUCAGGAACUCGUACGCAUCGCACGCAUUUUCUUGAGGGGCAUCACAAAAGCCGAUGAGAUGGUUAGCGACAUAUGAGACAGUUUAAGAGCCAAUCGGACGCACUCCGGGACCACAGAGUUUGCCCAAGAAAAAUGCUAAUUGACUGUCAUAAAUCACCAUUGGACACAAUUGAUGUCAAGAGGUGGACAUUAAUGAAAAGAUUGGAUGUCCAGCGCCAAACGAUAAAACAUAACGCACAUAAAUUAUCACGUGCGGAGCUGCAAACAAAAAUAAAGUAGUUAAAAGGUGCUCUAAGAUGCGAUUAGCUUGUUGAUGAGGUUGCAAAUUAAUUAAUAAUGUCAUUGAAAAUGCUUGAUUAUUUGACUAUUAAAAUAUGCAUCGAAUUUGAGAUUUUUAUAUUGGUGUUAAUUGCCUUGUUUAUUUCUUCUUCGCACGCAUUUUUUCGAAAGCACUUAAUACCUUCAAAAUAGUUUUUUUUAAACGAUUGUUCUUUUCAAUUUUUUUUUGCAAUAUUUAUUUUAAGAAAGAGUUUCAAAUCAUAUAAUAUUAUAAAUUUAAAUAAUUACAUCACUUACGCCAAUUGCAGGUUAAAAAGUGGUCCAUAAAUGAAUUACGAUCUCAUUGAAUAAUCAAUAUUUGUAUCAUUCUCCCUUCGAAUAAUGUUAUAACAUUUUAGGGCAUAUGACUUGCAAUAAUGUCAAAGUGUCUCAAUGAAAUACGCAUUAAAUUCAGGAUAUAUUGAUUACAUGGUUUAAUUAAUUGCUGGAUGCUCUAACUAAAAAGUUAAAAUAAGGCUCAACAAAACACUCAUCUUACAAUCUCUCGCCUGCUUCUGGUCCCCACCUUUCGACCUGUUAUCUAACCUCGUGUUGUGAUGAGUUUAAUUGAAAUUGAGUGCCUUUAGCUAGCGUUUCUCCGUCUUAUUACUGCUUGGUGCCUUCUUGAUGAGCCAUUAUCGCUCCAUAAUUCACAUGGUAUACCUCAAGACAAUUUUGCACGGUAUCUUCCCUCGUGCCCUGCUUCGACUGUGGCAAAAAUGCGGAAAUGAGCUCAUAUUGCCAGUUUAAUUGUGAUGAGAAUGUGCGAUUUUAGCAGCGAGAUGAAAGGGAGGUGAAUGAAGAAAUUAAUGAGAUGGUGCACUUGAGGAAAUAACGAUGGAGCGACAAAUGCGAAGGUGGAAAUAUUUCCUCAGCGAGACAUUGCAUGCAUACAAUUUCUUCCGCGCCUUCAGAGACACUCCAUUUUAAGUAUAAACCGAUACUUUUUAAGACACUUCCUCUGUCUUCACUUUCAAUACACAAAAGAUCAAAUUCAUUUCUGUGGAAAAAAAGAUGAUACCUUAAAACGUCUCAAUAAACAUCUUUUAUUUUUUCGGGUUCCAUCAAAUAGCCAUUAAAAUUUUGCUACAUGUUGCGCAAAAGAACCACACAGGCUGGUACUGGAAUCACUGGUACAGUCGUGAAACAAUAACUGAAAAUGAAAGUGAAAUUCAUUACGUUUAGCAAUAACUUUUCUGCUCAAAGAAGAUACCCGUCCACCUGGUCGUUUCGGUGAGCCCCGGAGUGAUUCCAGGCGAGGCGUCAAACUCGUUCACAGUCUCUUCUGGAAUGAAAGCAAGAGCGUCUUCAAGAGAUCAUCACUGAUGAUCCUCUGCGCUAUUAAUCAACACUCUAACAACCUCUUAAAGCGGUAGUGAAAAACAAAGAGGUUUUUAGUCUCACGAGAACCAGCAUUUUGUGUAAAGUUGAAUUUUUGUUAACUCUUUAGGUUUGUUUUGUAGAAAGACCUUUUAUGUAUUAAAUUAAGUCAAAAUACUAUUUUAAUAAAAAGCUUAACGUCUUAUCGCAA